RNAcentral lists this ribosomal RNA (433 nucleotides) under uncultured bacterium. RNAcentral describes it as "partial 16S ribosomal RNA". It matches the Rfam family "Bacterial small subunit ribosomal RNA", at positions 29 to 507 of the family's 1533-position model. The record is from RNAcentral.
AACGAACGCUGGCGGCAUGCCUAACACAUGCAAGUCGAACGAGACCUUCGGGUCUAGUGGCGCACGGGUGCGUAACGCGUGGGAACCUGCCCUUAGGUUCGGAAUAACUCCCCGAAAGGGGUGCUAAUACCGGAUAAUGUCUUCGGACCAAAGAUUUAUCGCCUUUGGAUGGGCCCGCGUUGGAUUAGCUAGUUGUUAGGGUAAAAGCCUACCAAGGCGACGAUCCAUAGCUGGUCUGAGAGGAUGAUCAGCCACACUGGGACUGAGACACGGCCCAGACUCCUACGGGAGGCAGCAGUGGGGAAUAUUGGACAAUGGGCGAAAGACUGAGCCAGCAAUGACGCGUGAGUGAUGAAGGCAUUAGGGUUGUAAAGCUCUUUUAACCGGGAUGAUAAUGACAGUACCGGGAGAAUAAGCUCCGGCUAACUCCGUG